AGCCCCGUAGUGUAGUGGCCAAGCAUGUCGGGCCUUGGACCCGGCGACGGUGGUUCGAAUCCGCCCGGGGCUA
RNAcentral lists this transfer RNA (73 nucleotides) under Candidatus Aenigmatarchaeota archaeon. Its description in RNAcentral is "tRNA-Gln". It matches the Rfam family "tRNA". Rfam says of the family: Transfer RNA (tRNA) molecules are approximately 80 nucleotides in length. Their secondary structure includes four short double-helical elements and three loops (D, anti-codon, and T loops). Further hydrogen bonds mediate the characteristic L-shaped molecular structure. tRNAs have two regions of fundamental functional importance: the anti-codon, which is responsible for specific mRNA codon recognition, and the 3' end, to which the tRNAs corresponding amino acid is attached (by aminoacyl-tRNA synthetases). tRNAs cope with the degeneracy of the genetic code in two manners: having more than one tRNA (with a specific anti-codon) for a particular amino acid; and 'wobble' base-pairing, i.e. permitting non-standard base-pairing at the 3rd anti-codon position. Lineage: Archaea; Nanobdellati; Candidatus Aenigmatarchaeota. The record is from RNAcentral.